GCUGCCCCAAGAUAUUGGAAAGUUGAUGAAUUUGGAACUCUUGAGCCUGAUCUCAUGCACUGAUUUGGUAGAGUUGCCAGAUUCUAUUGGAAGGCUUUUAAAUCUAAGACUACUUGACAUCUCCAACUGCAUAAGCCUUUCAAGUUUACCUGAGGACUUCGGCAAUCUGUGUAAUCUAAGAAAUCUAUACAUGUCUAGUUGUACAAGUUGUGAAUUGCCAUUUUCAGUUGUCAAUCUUGCGAAUUUAAAGGUGAUAUGUGAUGAAGAGACGGCUGCUUCAUGGGAAUCUUUCCAAUCUAUGAUUUCCAAUCUCACUAUAGAGGUUCCUCAAGUUGAAGUCAACUUAAAUUGGCUUCAUGCAGGUCGCUCCUAAAAUUUGCAUGCGCUCUUCCUCUGCCUUUGCUAAUCUUUGUGGCAGUGUUCUUCAAAUGAAUGAAUACUUAUCAUGGGUAAUAGAGGUGGUUGUUGGUACCUCAGAAAUGGCUCCCAACGGAGGGGCUGAGUGGAUGCUAGCUCUUAGGUACAGCUCACAUCAACCAUCCGAACUGCUUCAUCAGGUGGUGACCUCUGGCCUUUCAACACUUGGGGGCUAGACAUUCUUUGGCCUUUCCACCUGCACCAGGUUUGUUAAUUCAUCAACCAUUCUUUGGUGAAUCAUCCACAAGCAAAUAAACAGGUUGGAUCAACUAACAAAAUCAUUUUCAAUGAAUGAAGAAAAUGAUUGGAUCAAGCAAAAGCAGAAUAGACAGAGGAGCUAAUAAGAGUAUUGUAGACAAAUCACAUUACACCCCAGUCAUCAACACAUAAAACACCUUUCAAACUUGUCUACAUAUUUCAUGCAAUGGUAUCAGUAUAACUCACAUCAGCUUCAAUCUGUGCGAAUUUAAUAAAUGAGUCCGCAUCGAGAUCAAACAGGAGAAUAGAUCUUGACUUACUCUACGAAGUCAGGGAACUAGUGUACAUAACUAAGUAUGUUUCAAAACUUAGGACUGCAAAUAGGUAUAACAGCAAAGUUAAAUCUAGAAAUUUCAAGGAAGGAGAUUAGUCUUACGGAAGACCGAGAAGGUAACGAAUAAAAAACACGGAAAGCUAGCGGCUAGUUGGAAAGGACCAUAUGGAUCAGCUCCGCUCUGUGCAAAAGAGCAUACAAGCUAGAAGGCCGAGCUAGAAACAUUUAUCUGAGAUUGUGGAAUGCCACACACCUCAAACUCUAUUUAUUUAGAUUUCUUGUAAUAUGAUGUACUCUUUUUCCUGCUUGGACCUUUUUUCUCGAAAAAGUUUUUGGUUCUUGGAGGUUUUAACUAGCACAUCUUUUUUUUUCCAUUUCAUUAUCAAUAAAGUCUUUGUUCAUUAUACUAUGAUCUCCAUUAAAAGAAAACACAUAAGCCUGAUGUGUUUCCGUCAAUGAGUCAAUUCAAUAUAUAAUAUAAGCUUGAACAGGCAAAUACAGUAUUUCUUUUAUUUAUCUCAGUAUAAAUAGCCUUACAACACAUGAACUUUACAUAGAAGAUUGCAUAAAAAGGAAUAUACAUGUACAAUUACAAGUCUUAUAUCAUCUAGGUGAAGAUGCAACAUCCAACAGGACAAACCCAUAUCCUACCCCAUGUACCAUCUCAGGAGUAAAAGAUGAGGCACAGUUUCACGUCAGCAAUCUGGUAUUAAUGUAAGGGAGGAACUCCUUUACAACUAGAAAAUGUAGUAUUCAAAUUUUCUUGAAAAUCAAUCAACCAAGGAGGCUCUCUUUUGGUAAACCAUAUUGUUCUCACAAAUCAGGGCAUAAAUGUUCACUGUUGGUCAAUAUAUUGGUUCUUAAACUCACCAUCAACGAGUGAUAAAAACAGUAUGUUUGACCAAUAACGAACAACCUCAGCCGAAUUUAAUAUACACGUCUCAAACUUUUGAAGAAUUAAAAUUUGGAGAAUGUUUCAAAGCUAGCGAGGGAAACAGAAAAUUGAUUCAUAGCAAAGGAAACAACUAUUUUAUAAGCCAAAACCAAAACAUAAAAGUUAAUGAAAAACAGUGUCUUCUUAAGGUUCUCGACCUUGUCCUUCAAAAACAACUUACUCGACUUUAACCUUUUCAUCUCGUAUUCCAAUAUUUUGAUCUCCCAUGUCAGACCUUCAAAUUUGACACCAACAUCUUCAAACACUUUUUCAACUUCCUUCCUUGACUUCUUCUCAUCCUCCAAAAGUUUUUCAAUUUCUUACUUGUCUUACAAGCAACAAUCAUUUUUCUUUUCGGCCAGCUUGUGCAACCUUUUUUGAAGGUUAUCUUUGCCAUUCCUCGCCAUGUCUAACCUAUACUCUCUCGCAUAGAUAUUUUAUUGUUAUUGUUGGGCAGCACAUAGAGCACGAAGGAGGUAAGAUGUGGAAACCACACACAGACAUUUUUUAGCCGAAAACUUUGUACAGUAUGUUGAUAAGACGCGACAGGGUGAUCUGCAACAGGACAGUUGAGUAAACCCCAUGUUACUGGCAGCUGCAAGCAUGACAUUCUUUGAAGAACACGACCAAUUGUUACCGGCAUUUGUUACCGAGGGGAAUUAUUUGGAAGCGGUUCCUCUAACGUUUUUGUGGGAACUCACAUUUGAGGGACAUAAUUUCUCCCUCUAUAUCAAUCAUUUAGAAAAUGAAUCCCAUUGAGAAAACACAGCCAACCUCAGCUGAAUUUAGCUUCCAUCAACAGCGGGUUAAUUAUGGACCAAAUUUAAAUGAGACGGGUCAACCUGCAUUGCCAUCUGUAUUUGAAAUUAGGGGUGUUCGUGGUGCAAUUUCAAUCGGUUUUGAGACAAAAACUCAUCUGAUCCAAAGUUAAAUUACCUGCGGUUCAGUUUUUGACGACUCGUUUAAAAAAUUGGAUCUGAAUUGAUCCAAUUUAAUGCAUAUUAUUUUGGAUUGGUUCUUGAAUAUGCAAAUUACAAAUUGUAAAUAAUAAGUUUGAUGCAAAAUAUAACACAUAAUAUGUUGAUGAAAAUUUUCGAUUAUAUUUCAAACAUAGAAAAUAGUAAAAAGUAUAAUAAAUUAAAUUGGGAUAUAGGUGGAAGAUUGGAGAUGGCUCCCAGAUCAAAGUUUGGUCCACAUCAUGGAUUCAUUCACUUUCUACUCUUCGACCCUCAACAACGCCACCUCCACAUCUGGAACAUUUAUUGGUUCGUGAUUUAAUAAAUCCUGAUUUGCAUACUUGGAAUAGUUCGCUCAUUAGUAACAUCUUUUCCAUCUCAGAAGCUUCGGUCAUUUGCAGACUGCCACUCCAUACGUGUAACCUGCAUGAUACUCGAGUUUGGCAAAUCGGCUUAUAACUUAUGCAUGUCUCUGAAAACUGACGCUAAUGUUUCCCCCACUGCAGCUGCGCAUAAUUGGAACAUUAUUUGGAUACAACAUGUGCCUCCUAGAGUAUGUUCCCUGUUAUGGAGAAUGGCUCAUUGUUGCCUUCCAACCCGCACUCGCUUGAUCCAGAAAGGUUUAUCUAUUGACGAUACUUGUGUUCAUUGCGAUGUCCUGGAUGAAUCCCACAUCUAGUCAUUCUUUGUGUGCCCAAAAGCAAUCAAUUGUUUGAACAAGUCCAAUUGGAUGGUAUUGUGCGAGAGUUACCACGUGAUGCUAUUGAUUUCAGAUCUCUUCUUUUUUAUUUCUUUAGCAGGUUACAAACACAUACCCAGGCAACAACAUCUAUUAUUCUAUGGAGUUUGUGGAAAAAUAGAAACUCUAAAUUAUGGCAAGCAGGGACACACCCUCCUCAUCAUUGAUCGUUCAGCGAGCGCAUAAUUCCCUUCAUGAAUGACCCUGUUUACAAAGAGCAAGACAAUCUAACCAAAAUAUUUCAGUUUAAAAUACAAUGUAGAUUGUGCCCUCUUCAACAACAAUACCAUCACAUGGCUCGUCAUCUGCUAUCGAGACUCUUCAGGGGCAUUACAUUAUGGAUCAUCUAACUACUCUUUAUAUACUUCUUCCCCUUCAGAAGCCGAGGCUCUAAGCCUUAACCUUCGCUGACAAUCAAGGCAUUGAGUCUGUCAUAUUUGAGUCUGAUUGUAAGCUAGUUCUUUUAUUCUAUUUGGCAAGUAUUUGGAAGUGUUGGCUAAAGGGAAAACAUCACAAGCUAUUGCGAAACUCAUGGAUUUAACACCUGAUACAGCAACCUUACUAACUCUUGAUGAUGAUAAGGGAAAUGUUAUAGGUGAAAGAGAAAUUGAUAGCAGGUUGAUACAGAAGAAUGAUGUGAUCAAAGUUGUGCCGGGCGCGAAAGUAGCAUCAGAUGGUUUUGUUGUUUGGGGACAAAGUCAUGUAAAUGAGAGUAUGAUAACUGGUGAGGCAAAGCCUGUUGCUAAGAUGAAGGGUGAUAUGGUGAUUGGUGGUACUGUGAAUGAAAAUGGUGUUUUGCAUGUUAAGGUAGCAAGGGUUGGAUCAGAAACUGCACUUUCCCAGAUUGUUAGACUUGUUGAGUCUGCUCAGAUGGCUAAAGCUCCUGUCCAGAAAUAUGCUGACCAGAUUUCUAAAUACUUUGUUCCUAUAGUAAGUGUAAAUUACUAAUACUAACUAGCUCCGUGAUUUUUACGAAAACUAAACUACUGAGCUUCAACAAAAUCACGGUGUCAAUACAAUUUUGUCAAAUUCACCGUGAUUUCAAACAUGUAUUAUGUGUUUAAACAUUUAAGUCAAAUAAUAGAAUUGUAUUUUACAUAUACUUACUGGUGCCUGUUUUUGUAGGUGAUUGUGUUAUCUCUUUCAACAUGGAUAUCAUGGUUUGUAGCUGGAAAAUUGCAUUCAUACCCAAAAUCAUGGAUACCAUCUUCUAUGAAUAAUUUCGAGCUUGCACUUCAGUUUGGAAUUUCAGUCAUGGUCAUAGCUUGUCCUUGUGCUCUAGGCCUCUACUCCUACAGCGGUCAUGGUUGGUACUGGAGUUGGUGCAACUCAAGGUGUGUUGAUCAAAGGUGGCCAAGCAUUAGAAAGUGCACACAAGGUGAAGGCAAUUGUUCAAAACAAGGAAAUAAUGGUUGGAAAUAAAAAACUGAUGUUAGAUCAUAACAUAGCUAUUUCAGUGGAAGCUGAAGAAAUACUAGCAGAAGCUGAAAACAUGGCUCAAACAGGAAUUUUGGUAUCAUUGGAUGGAGAAAUUGUUGGAGUUUUGGCUGUGUCUGAUCCACUGAAACCUGAUGCAAAAGAAGUUAUUUCUAUUCUUAAAUCCAUGAAAAUAAAGAGCAUAAUGGUGACAGGUGAUAAUUGGGGAACUGCAAAUUCUAUAGCUAGACAAGCUGGUAUUGAAACUGUCAUGGCAGAGGCUCAACCUGAAACUAAAGCUAUUAAAGUAAAAGAAUUGCAGGUACACACAAAAUUAUGGUCCCCAAUUACCAAAUUAUUGCUUCACUCCUUUAGGGUUUCCUCUCAUGGUUUUAAUACUUUGUUCAUUGUAGGACAUUUAUUCAAUUAUUAUAGUGUUUAUUGGUUUUAAUCUCUAAAAAAUUUUAUUUGGAUUGAGUCCGUGCAAAUUCAAUAACUGCUGUUUUUUAGUCUUUAACGUCAGCUUAUUGGGUCACAUAUGACGUCAGAGACUAAAACCAAUCGUGUUUAAUUUGUAAGGAUUGAAUCUGAACAAAAUAUUUAGCGGGACUAACCAAGUAAUUUGACUCAAAUAGUCAAUAAGCUCCUCUAGGACGAAUCAUUCAGGAAAACUCGAAUUUGAUUUUUGCUGGCAACAAUUUUUGGUCAGACUUUAUUUAUCCGAGUUCAAAAUAAUUUGCAAUAAUUGCAAAAACUAAAAUCAUAUUUAACCUUCAUUUUUUUUAUAUAUUAAAAUUGAACAAAAUUUACUUAGACUUCAAAUAAUUAAAAUUUGUAGGGACCAAAAAUAUAUUAACCCUAUAUAAUCUUUAGACAAUCAUGUGAUAGUUAUUUGACAUACUUGGUGGCAGAAUUCUGGAUACACAGUAGGAAUGGUAGGAGAUGGUAUAAAUGAUUCACCAGCACUAGUAGCAGCUGAUGUUGGAAUGGCAAUUGGUGCUGGAACAGACAUUGCUAUUGAAGCAGCUGACAUUGUUCUUAUGAAGAGUAACUUAGAGGAUAUAAUAAUUGCCAUUGACCUUGCAAAGAAAACUUUCUCACGUAUACGUCUAAAUUAUAUUUGGGCUUUAGGUUAUAAUAUUCUAGCCAUUCCUAUUGCUGCUGGCAUACUUUUUCCUUCUACUAAAUUUAGGUUACCACCUUGGAUUGCUGGAGCUGCAAUGGCUGCUUCUUCUAUCAGUGUUGUUUGCUCUUCUCUCUUGUUGAAGAAAUACAAGAAACCAACCAAGCUUAACAACUUGGAGAUGAAUGGUAUUCAGAUUGAAUAAUCAACUUGUCAAUUGUAUAUUUGUAACUAUAAUAACUAGGCUUGUUUAUUGGGAGCAACAUUUUGUUAUGUUGCAAUUGUAAUUUCAAUGUAAAUUAAAAAGUAAGUAAUUAUUUUUCUUAAAAAAAGUAAUUAGCUUUAGUAAAAAUAGAUGUUUUAUAUGUACAAACUAUAUUAAGGAACAAUUAUUUUUAAUCUGGAAGAAUGUUGAAAUUAUGAUUAUAGGCAUUUUAUAAUAAGGUGUUCAAAUUCAGUACAUGUUGGAACAUCAAUGAAAAUAUGAGAACUAGCUAGAGAUGUGGGCCACAUCUAGCUAUCCUUGAUGGAGCGUGAGCUACCGAUCAUUUGUUUCUCUUAAUAAACUCAACACGAGUUUUCCAAAUGAAAAAAGAAAAAACGUCCACACUACCUAUUAAUGUCUCCGAAUUCUUUGACGUCAAUCUUAUCACUAUUAAAAAGAUCAAUUGAUCUUUUAGUGUAGUGUAAUCCACUUGACCACUUGUCCCAGAUGCAAGUCAUGAACUCAAGUGAGCGGAUGAAGAUGGCCCAAGGCUUCCCCUAUUUGGUGAAAUCCGAAUUGUUUUGGCGAUUUUGAUGUGAACAGAAUGGUCCGCCAGAGUUGCAUUUGUAGCGCCCGGUCGCUGGUUUCAUCCAAUUUGUAUCAGAAUGUCUGGUGUAACAGCUCCACCCAAAUAUGCAGUGUAUUCUCCCUGCUCCAAUUUUCAGUCAAGUAUUUGACCAUGUCCAUAAUUUGCAAACUAGCUUCAAAGACAUUAUUCCUCAAUUUUCGCUCCUUUAAAAUAGUCCCAAAUCAGUCUGAAAAAUUCAGACGAAAACUUAAUCGUCCGAAAACACAGUUUUUUUUAGUAGCGUCGUUUUAGUUUUGUUAGCUUUCUAGCUUAUUGAACUUAUGAUUUUUUUACAUUGAAACUUUAAAAAGUAAUUAUUUUUUACAUAAAACUUAUCUAUUAUUAAAGAUAUUAAUGGUCAAAAUUGUACAUUGACAUAUGUGAAGUGGACUUGAACAUGUAUUUUGAAACGAGAGUAUAUUUUAAGGUUACAAGACUAAGAUUUUAAUGUUAAGUCAUGUAAUAUUGAUGAUAUUCAUUAACUACAACUUGUGCUCAAAUAUAUCUAAAAAGAGGUGGUCAAUAAUGUCGAAAAUUAACCAUGGUUAAUGAGUUGAGGGAUGGUUAUCAACUAAGAAUAACUAACCACAUAUUUAAAUUGUAUUAACAAUCUAUAAUCUAAUUUUGAUGUGGAAUUUAUGUUUCCAAAGACCAUUUUUCUUUUCUAAGAACAAUAAGAAAUACGCGGUUAACUUUUGCUAACACCACUGAUAUAUAGCACCUUGAUGUGAUUAUGUGUCAACACGACAUUGAAACGAAAAAGCAAAGAAAGUAACAUAGAGAGGAAAUUACAAGGAAACUUCGUGAUAAAAUAUCUAUAUAAACCUUCAUUGAUUUCCUCUUUCUUCAACAAAAAAUUUCAAUUUCAUUUUCAUCAACAAUAACAACAAUGAUAGGCAUUAGGCAAGACAGAAGUACAACACCUGGUUGUCGUUUCAAAGGUAUAAUAUGCUAAACUUUCACUUUUAAAUCCUCGUUGUUUUUUCUUCAUUUUAUAACUUGUUCUUUGUUCGAUUUGAAUGUAAAAAAGGAAGGAAAAAUAAUUAAACAGGUUAGGUUGGUCCAUGCAAAGUGUUCGACAACACAUGAUUCAGCAUCUUAGCGUUCAAUGCGGGAAAAGAUAUUAACAACUAGCAAUAUAUGAACUUUGAGAGCCUAAAAUCAAAAUCAUUGACUAAACUCUAUGACUAUUCUUAGGGUAUGUUUGGAUUGAGGGUUUAGGAAGGGAAGGGAGAGUUUACUUUUCUUUUUUAAAUUCCGGACUAUAUAACAUAUUUUUUUAAAAUAAAUUUAGUAUGAUUGAAGUAUGAUAUGAUUGUUUAUCAUGAUAAUAUGUUAACUUUUUAAAAAAAAAAAAACAUUUUUAUUGUGUUCGUAAUCACAUAUAUAUAAGUUUUUAUUGUUCUACUCUAUUUUUAAAACUUCACCAAUCUUCACUUCGAAACAAAAAAGUUGAAAGAUGAUUAAUAUAUGUGGACUAAAUUUUUAAAUAUAAAUAUUGAGUUUUCAAAUACUAUUUUUGUUUAUAUCUCAUUCGGGAGGGAAUAAAUUGUUAUCAUAAUUACAAAAUACAGAUGUUUAACCUUAGGAUUGAGAGUGAAAACCCAUUUAAUUUUAAAGUCUUUUUUUGGACAAUUUGUGACCCUCUAACUUGAUUCCUAAAACAUUGUCGAUUCCAAUUUUAUGAAGGCAACUUCUUUUUUUUUUGUCAGAUUUUAUGAAGGCAACUUAAUCACUUGCUAUAUUAAUAUAUGUCAUAUUCUUAAUUUGACAUCUUGGGACAUUGCAAAUCUUAUGUCAACUACAAUUUAUUUUAGAAUUAAUAUUAAAACAUAUCUACAAUGCUUUCGAACAUUAGAAGAGAAUGUGAAAUGGUACAAGAUGUUUGGAAGCAUUGUAGAUAUCUUUUUUUUUUUUUUAUAAAAGAGGGUAAAAGUCCAUUGUAAAUAUCUUGUUUUAAUUUCUAUCGAAAUGACUUUUUAAAAAGAUUGUUUUUUGAAGAAAUUGGUGAUGAUUUGGCGACAAAAAUGCAAAGAGAAAAAUACUAAAAUGUCUAAUGAAUUUUCUUUUUUUGAGAGAGCCCUAAUGAAUUUUCUUGUUCUUUGUCUGCACAGGGGAACUAAAAUUUUGGGGAUGGUGCGGCUAUGAAGUAUGAUUUAUGAAUCACAUUAUUUAAAAAUAUUAAAAUUAAAAUCAUGAUGAAUGCUAAAAACCUAAAAAAAAAAAAAAAAAAAAAAAAAAAAAACAAGAAAAACCAUCAUUAAUUAAAUGGUAUAGAUGAAUGGAUGGAUAGACACACCAAUUUUUUUUUGAAAAAGCUAAGUGAAUAUAUUAAACAACUAAGAGAAACCCUUCUAGCACAAGAUGUAUUAGAGGAAACUUAAAAAUUUAAAACCUACAAGAAUUACAAAAUAGGUUGUAAGCACAAUAAAACAACGUUCAACCGAGUAAUCAAAUGUAAUAUGAUUUUAACAAAGGCUUGCCAAUUGUUAACAUUUUCAAAUGUUGCCAUAUAAUAUAGUAAUCUUAUAUUCAACUGGUGAACAAAUUCUAUUUAUAAUCAACUAAUAUGAAAAAAUUCAGUCCAUCCACCAUAUGCUUAAUAAAAGGCUUAAUUUUAUUUUGGUCCCAAUAUUUUCACUAAUCACAAUUUUUUUUUUUCUAUUUUAAAAUCAUUCAGCUUUGGUGCCUCCAUCCAAAUUUUGUUGUAGCAAAAUAGUGAUUUGAUAUCUUUUGAAUAACGUAACAUACGACCCGAUUAUGUGAAGUGAUCAACAAUCAUAUAAUUAUAAGAAAAAUUAUUUUAGUUUCAAAUUAUGUUUCACAAAAAAAUACAAAAAUCUAAUGAAGGAAUCAAAACUGAAUGAUUUUAAAAUAUGGGAUAAAUUCCAUAAAUAAUUGAAAAUCGGUGGAUCAAAUAAUUAAAUCUUAAUAAAAAUAAUCUAAUCCAUAUCCAUAUAUAUUAAAAGUUAUUGAUAUAUGGAUAACCAAUCUACCCCUAAAAUUAUAUUUUGAAUCAAUUAGAAAUAUUAAACAAAAAGGAAGACUAGUUACAACAUAUUUUUGAAAAAAUUAAGCUUCAAUGAAUGGUUGAAAGUGAAUCACAUUAAUUUUACUUUCGAGUGUUGCAUGUCACCACUAAACAUUAUCAAAUGCUCCUUGAUUAAUUAUGGUGGUUUCCUUCACACACUAAAAUUUCGGGAUUAGGAGUCACUUUGAGAAAGUCACUACCAUCUUCUGAAAACCUCCCAGUUUGUGAUUUUUCAAGAUUUUGUAAUCUGAUAUCUGGAAUUAAAAUUUUAAAUUGAUGAAGAUGUGAACAGUUAAUAGAUCAUGGGGACUUUGCGGAGGAAAACUAAGGGACAACAAUGAUUAUUGAGAAGCCGCCAAUAGAAAUUUCAACUCCAGAUAUCAUAUUAUAAAAUUUUGGUGACUUCAGAGGUUAGUAAGAUGCAGUAAUCUUCAAAGGUUAAGUAUAUGCUCAGUUGAAAAUGAAAACAGUUCAAAUAUUCCUAACUUGACAAAGAUUUUGUCCAAAAGCUCCGUGCUCUUUUCUUCUGACUUCUUGUAGUAAACAUCGAAAGAUUGCAGGACCAUUAAGAAUUCAUUGUUUUCCUUGAUCACUUUUCAUUAAAUUCACGUAAAAUGAGUUUUGUAUAAUGUAUUUGAAGUUUUGAUGAUAACAAAAUACUCCCUCCAUCCCGAAUUAGCUGAGCCAUUUUUUCUUUUCACACAUAUUAAGACAAAUGUAUAAAUGAAGGAGAGAGAAUAGUGGUUUUAAGUGAUCUUCACUAUCAUAUAUAAAUGCAAAGUGGAAUAUAUUGAAUUGAAAGUUGUGAAAGUAGUAUUAAUUAGAGUUAUAAAAGGAAAAAAGUAAUUAAUAUUGUAUUGAGUUAUAAAGAAUAAUUGGAUGGAUAUGUUAAUGUAUGUUUAAAUGUGUAGGAUUGUAGACUAAAAUUUUAAGUAUUAAAAUCAAGUUUGAUUCUGGAAGAACAUAUACGAGAGCAUUUGAAUAUUGAGGAAAACUGAAGUUCUCGACCAGACUCUAAAGACUCAAGUCUCUAAAGGAUAUCAGACUCUGAAGGUCAGAAGUAUCUGGAAAUUACCUGACUCUGAAGAAUGAAGACUCUAAAGAACACGUCAAACUUAUCGUCUUCUGAAGAUGUCACUAUCAGACUGAGACGGUACAUUUUUUUUUCUUCUGACCACGUGCAGGAACAAACAAAGAACUUCAAAGACAAAUGAAAUGAAAUGGAUAAUUCAUUUUGAAGCAAAGAAAUUUCAAAUAUCUUUUCAACGACAUUAACCAAAUCAAGAAACAUUCUAAUGUCUAUGAUCAAGCUUCUCAAAGACCCUAAAACACGUGAUGGCACCUCUCCAACGCCUCCAAUAUCCUUCACUAUAUAAGGAGUCGAAGACUUAAAUAAAUUAACAAGACUGCUAAAAGUGCCCUUACUAUGUCAAAAUUAAUAGCGCAUUUGAACUUAGAAUUUCUUACAAAUUUUAAAUCUAAGAAAUUCGUAAGUCUUAAGAGUUUUAAUCUGUUUUGUAUUUGUUUACCUCUCUGAUUGUAUAUUAAGUGUAAAAUCAAACAAUCUUUUAUUUGAUUAAGUUGGAUUUUGCGAGAAGUCUUUUUUCAGUUGUGAUUGAGCAUUAAAGUCUCUUGCUUGUGUGCUUAAGCAUUUGUAAUUUUUAGUGAUUAUAGUGAAAAUCCCUUGGAAAUGCAAGGAGACUAGAUUACUCUCGGUUUAUGACAUGAACUAGUACAAAUUGCUCUCUCUCUCUCUCUCUCUCUCUCUCUCUCUCUCUCUCUCUCUCUCUCUCUCUCUCUCUCUCUCUCUCUCUCUCUCUCUCUCUCUCUCUCUCUCUCUCUCUCUCUCUGUGUGUGUGUGUGUGUGUGUGUGUGUCUGUUUUGGUCUUAUAACCUCUGCAUUCAGAACUCUACAUCAGACUUUAAACACUACAUUCAGACUCUGAUUAGUAAGAACACUUAGAAAAGGUAAACACAAUUCAACUCUACAUCAGACUUUAAACACUACAUUCAGCUUCUCAAACUCAUACUCGGUGAUUGAGGCAAGGUCACUAGUCCAAUAUAUAGAAAACUUACGCUCACCUUCAAAUACUAGCGUAGCUUCAAGACAAUCCCCCCAUCUCCCUCUCUUGAACUCAAAAGUAUUUCUCCUUACAGUUCUUAUAGUUUGAUAUAUAAGUUGGAAAUUGGCUCCUAUUGAGAUGGGUGCUGGUAGAGACCUAUAAUCUUUUAUCAAGGCCCUUGUUUCAUAUAAGGAAAAAAGCAUGCCCAUUGAGGGCUGAAACCAAUGUUUUAAAAAUCGAACCGGACCGAUUCAACCAGUUGACCCGGGAACUGGACCAAACACCGGUCCGGACAACACUUUAAAACCAGAAGUCUAUAGAACUAGAAAGGAACCAAGAAAACCGAUAUAAACUGGGAAAAAUGGAAAAACCGAUGAGUUGGUUUUGGUGAACCGUCCAGAUUCACUUUUCUUCUAAAUUUCUUUUCCAUAAAAAAUUCUUCUUUCCCUUUUGAUUUGUGGAUAUUGAAAUUUUAAGAGUUUCUAAUUUUUUUUGUAUGAUAAGACUUUUAUUUUUGUGUACCUAUAUGCUAGAUGUUGAAGAAUCUGGAUCUGCUUGUUUAUUUUUGAAGGAGUUCUUGGUGUUGCACUAACAAAAAUAAUUGGGUUGUAUAAUAUUAUAAAUAAGAAAAAAGAAGAAACAUCAUCACAUAAAGCAUAAGAAUAAGAAAUAAUAAGAAUAUGUGCUAUGAAAGAAGAAGAAUAAUGGAAAACAGCAUCCUAUGUGUGUAAUGCAUCGUGUGAAAAAAAGAUGUCAUUUAGGGUUACAAAAGGAUUGUUGAAUACAAUUAUAUUGGCUAUAAAAGAUUAAUUCAAUUGGGCUAUAAAAGAUUGGUGAAAAAAAGUAUUUUGGAUCUAUAAAGUGUUGGAACAAAAUAAUAUGGACUGUAAUCUAUAAUAAAAAAUUAAAUUUAUUUAUCAAUUAUUAAUAAUCUGGUUUAAUAACGGUUUAACCGGUUGAACCGGUUGAACCUUGACCCGAACAUCACAACGGUUUAACCUCUGGUCCAAUUUUAUAAACAUUGGCGAAACCCCAAGCUUUCGCACGAGAUCUCGAAACCGCACAUGAACGCACAACAGUUUGGAUGAAGUUGUGAUGAAGCGACGUUAAGAGCCUUAAGGAAAUCACACUCAAAGUUAGUAAAAGGAAACUUAAACCCUAUAUCCUCAAAAACAAACGAAUACAUAUGAAGCAUCUCCAUCUUCACUCCCUAAGGACAUUGGAGGCACACCUUCUCGCCAAGCCUACAAGGUUCCACAAUAAUAUCUGCCUCCCAAAUAGUAUACGAGAUAUCCACUUUACUCCUAAAAAAUGACACCCUCUUGUUGGUUACGAAAAGAGAGUCCAAGCAGACAACAACCACAGCAAAGACAUGGGAUAACAAAUUUCCCUCUUACCUACUCCUGGGGAACGAGAAAUUAAACCACAAUCAAUAUCCUAGCUAGAACUAUCAUCAUUACUGUCAGAAUCACUCGAAAUCUCUCCCAAUAGUAAAUGUCUAUAAUAACCCAUUUCGAAGACAACCUGUUUGUAACUCCAAUCCAGAUGUUUUGUAAUUUUGAUACAAGAAUUUCACAGUUUACUCUUCUUCUCAAAUGUAUCGGGAUUGACAACCCUUCCAGACUCAUCCCCCCCCCCCCCCCCCCCCCCAAAGAAAUUUCUUAACAGAGAAGGUUAAGACACUUGAAGAUAUGAAAAAAGGGUAAAAAGCCAAAAAGCAUAAAGAAACGAAAGAACAAUGGGAAAUGGAGGAGAAUCUCUCUUAUAAGGACAUAAAAACAACAAUAAAGCUACCUCGGGUCACCAAAUGACUAUAAGUAGUGAUUGGGACAAGUGUCAAAGAGAGGUAAUGUCUACGAAGGUAAAGGUGCACAACUAAAAAAAUGAACCCUCAUAGAUUGUGAGUCAUCAGAUCAAUCUUGCAUACCACACCAAAACCUCAAGGGGGGCAUAUCACACUCAGCCACUUUACCCUUACAAAGGACUCGUGCUUGGGGGGUUGUGGAUCCUCAUAUCUCAUUCAACCACUUUGCUCUUAACUGGGACUCGUACUUCUCUAAGUCAUGUUUUUAGUUCUGAUACAUCAAGCUUUGAGCACAAAGGAAAGCAUUUUGAUACUCAAGAGAAACACUGGAACUUUUGAAUAUAAGAUAACAUGAAGAAAGGUUAACAAAAUAGUCAAAGCUAUAAUCAGAAAAUGCAUCAAACCUUGAAGGCUCUGAUGAGAACAAGCUCUAAUGGACUCAUACUCUGAAGAAAGCAAGUUAUGAAAGACAUGUCGGCAGAUUGGGUGACUCUAACCUGUUUUGUCUUCUUCUGAAGGAACGUCGCUUUCAAAGUUUUGAUAGGUCUAUUUGUUUUCUUCUGACCACAUGCAGAAACAAAUAAAGAAAUUCAAUGAUAUAUAGAAUGUAAGAGAUCAAUCGUUAAUAAGCAACUGAUUUCUCUAGUACUACUCCAUGACAUUAUCCAAUUAGAGGCAAAGUUUUCAAAAUUGAUUUAAAGUUUCUCAAGGACAAUUUUGAUGCGUUGCACCAAAUGAUUUCUCAUUUCUCUCUUAUAUAAGGACCUAAGCAGUUUGAAGAAAUUAAGAGAUGAAAAUAUUUCACAAGUGUCAAAACUCUGUCGAAUUCAAAAGCGUUCAAUCACUUAAUUCUUACAAACUUUACAUCUUAGAAUUGCUUAGUGUAACAAGUUACUUGAACCUCAAGUUUUGUUUGCCACUCUCUUAGUAAAAAGUGUAAACAGAAUCUCAUUUAUUUGUUAAACUUUGAUGGUAUAAGUCCUCUUGUGUGAGGUAAUAAAGUCUCAACUUGCGUGUUUGAUAAAUUAUAAUCUUGUGUGAUUAUAGUGAAAAAUCAUUUGGAAGUGCAAGAGGACUGGACUAACCUCGGAUUAUUGAGUGAACUAGGAUAAUUGCUUGUGUUGUUUCUCUUCUCUCACCCAAUGACCAUCUGUUUGUUUUGUUUAAACACUUAAAAAGAUUUUCAAAAAAAGCCAACAUAAUCUCCCCUGCGUUUUUCUCACCUUCUAGGAUAAGAACAAGUGCCUAAAGUAAGAGCACAACCAAAGGUGCAAGUGGCUGCCCUUAUCUCGUAAACCAAAGUCGAACUGCUAAAUCCAUGGCCUUCAAGCGAGACAUAAGGUUACACAUAAGCUUGACGUGCCCGUCACUAUAGGAACGAACCGGCAAAAAGCUCAAUGAUAGACUCUUAUGUUGUUACAAACCAAAGGGGACCUAGAAACACUAUAUACAGAACCUCUGAGAUCAUUCCCGACCCAUGACUUAAUGGGUAGCAUUUAGGUGACAUAGCUUUUGGUGACAUUGUCCUUAUCUCUAUUAAUUAAUUAUUCUAAAAUGCAUUAAUGUCAUCAAAAAACUAUGUCAUCCAAGUGAAAUCCUGAUUACAAAAACCUAAGAGUUUCGUCUUAUUCACAGACUUAGUUUUAUAUUGUAUUAUCACUACAACUAUGAAUAAAAUGAACUAGUUGGGUGUUUGUAUAAUAAUGAUAAUGAUAAUAAUAAUAAUAAUAAUAAGAAUGGAUUUUUUUAAAUGCAAUAACAAUAAGGGACCGUGGGUCAUAAGUUAACACGGUUUCCUCCAACAACAAAAAAAAAUUAUGCUCACACGGUAACAACGCGGAUGAAACUAAGGAACAAGCUUUAAAUCAACAAAACAAAAACAAAAAAGAAGCAAGGAAGAUGCAAAGAAACUUACAUGGAAUGGAAAUAGCAAGGAAUGUUCGUGAAAAAAUCUAUAUAAGCAUGUUUUGUGUCCUCUCCACUCAUGAUUCAACAAAAAAAUUUCAUUUCUACUUUCACAAACAAUAACAUAGAUAGGCCAGACAGAGAAGUAUAAAAUCUUUGACACCACUGCUUGUCAUUCAAAAUUAAAGGUAUAUAUUUCCCCUUUCAAUUUAGAUCCUGUUGGUUUCUCCUUUAAUAGCAUGUUCUUUGUUCGAUUAAAUUAUAAGAAGGAAAGAAGGAAGGUACAAAUUUCAUUGUUCUCUUUUUUGUUUCAUAUUUAAUUUGGUUUCAGAUCUAGCAAUUAAAUUAAAUAAAUGGUUGGAGUAACACUAGAAAUCUGGUUUGACAGCAUGCAUUUUGUUGACCACGCUAUAUGGACAAACUUACCUUAUCUUAUCUUAUCUUAUUUUAUUUUAUUUGUUUAUUUGUACUGUUUUAUUUUUCCUUUUUUAAAAGUAAAUUCUUAUGUACCCUAAAACUUGAUUGAAUUUUUGUAUUUUGUAUGUAAAGUUUAUUUAAGUUUGAUUUUAAUUUUAAAUAAAUUAAUAUAAAAUAUGAUGUGACAUUGAUUUAUUGUGUGGUCAUUCUUUUAUUUUUGAGGUAAGUUUUUAUGUGGUUGUUUCGAACAAAGAACAUGCUAUUAAAGGAGAACAUGCUAAUAUUUCUCUUUAAUUUUUUUACUAAAUAAAUUCUCCUAUUCUUAUCCAUAACAAAAAAACAACAGAUCACUCCUAUUAUUUCCUUUUAUUAAAAAACAAAACAAACCUAUUUUUUUAUUAAAAACAAAAGAAAAUCAUCCCCUUUAUAUGAAAAACAAAACAAACCUAUUUUUUAUUAAAAACAAAACAAAAUCGACCCCUAUUUUUUUAUGAAACCUAAACUAAACUAAUUACCCUAUUUUUUUAUGAAAAAUAAAAUAAAUUAAUUUUGUUAAGUCUGCAACAACUUAAUCUAAUUUUUUUUCCUCCCUGAUCCUUUGUUAGGUUUGCAACAACUCAAUCCUAAAAGUUUGGCUCUAAAUUUGUAUCAUAUAUGUUUUUCAUUUCUCUCUCUAAUAACCGUUAAUAUUUUUCAAAGCAAAAAUAGAUAUCUUAAUCCUUAUUAUUUAUUAAGGAAAUCCUUAUUUUAACUAUAAAAGUAAUAAAUAAAAUUAACUCGUAAAACAAUAUAAUUUUAUAUUCUUUUUAUCUUUUUUCUUUAUCAUUUGAUUGUAUUAUUGUAUAUCUAAUAAUUUAAUUUGCGUUUAUUGAUCGAUCCGUGAUCUUACGGGUUAAAGAUUAUUUAUUGAUCUCUAUUAUAGUCGAGAAGACCCGUGCGUCGUACGGAUCAAAAGUCUAAUUUAUGAUUAUUUCUUUUCGUGCGGAGUUGGUAGCAUGAAUUUCAGAAUUUGAACCCGGUGAUGAUAUUCUAUCUUGCUAUCCUGAUUUCUUUUGUUCUUUCUUCUCCUUUUCUUUUUCUUUAGAUUAUUAAUGAUAUUCUACUUCUAAAUUUUAUAAAUUAGUUCAUAGGUCAUAAAUAAUGUUUGAUAAUUACUGGUUGAACCUGUGGAUAAGUUGACUAAGAGCAGAAAAGUUAGCAGAUUUAAGUUACAAUGUUUGAUAAAAUUAACGAUUGAAUUAGUUGAUAAAUAUAAAAUGUUAUAGAAAAAUAUUUUUAAUUAAUGUUUAGUGUUUUCCAUUAAGAUAAUAGCUACUUAUAUAAAAUAGCUUAUAAAAAACGUAAUAAAAAUUCUUAUAACUCUUGUGUAAAAAUUGUUACUAAAUAGGUCUAAUUUGACCAUAUGAACUCAUAAUAUAAACUUGAAAAUUGACUUGACCAAACCACAAUAUAAUUUUGCAUCCCUUGGUCAGGGGUUCUGGCUACACCACUAGUUGUUGUUCAAAGAUUUGAAGUACAAUAUCUGGUUUCAGUAGUUCCUCUACUUCUUCUUUUUUGUCAUUAUGCUAUAUAUUUAUAUUUUAAUUUAUUUGUUUCUUAACAUGAUGUAUAUAUGAAUUAUGAAAUGUUGACAUCAUAUUUCUGCUGCCACUUAGGAAAAACAAAACAAUAACCAUGCUCACUCUUGCAAGCCUUGGUUGGUACUUGGUAGAACAAGGCAUUCCACAGGGUAACCCAGAGGCAUUGCUAGUGUGGUCUACAUUUGAUUCAGAGUGAGGAUUUAAACUAUAAAUACUCUGUUACUUAUCUAUCCACAAAUUGUUUAUUGUUUAUUGAUAUUUUGUCAUUUUUAAAGUUCAAUGUAACACUAAUAUUAUUUUAUUAAUAACGUUCUUAAUUAUUUAUUGUACAUAGAAUGUGAGCUGAUAAAUAAUAAAAAAAAAAAAAACUUUACAUUACAGAAAAAUGACAAACAAUUUUAUCAAAAAUAAUAAAAUUUAGGUUUAAGUAUGCAAAUGUUUAUUUUUGUCUAUGUAAAAGAAAUCUUAUGUUUUUAGUCAUAUAAAUAUGUAACUUUUCCAUUUGAUCUUUGUUGUUAUGUUUAAAUCCUUACAAGAUUGAUUCAUAUUGAAAUCGAUCUUUUGUAACAUCUAGAAUAUUUGAUUUUAGUCUCUUUAAAUAAAGACUAAAAUGGAUAUUAUAAGAAGUAAUUUCAACGCGAACAAAUUUUGUUGAGACAAACGCUAAUGACAUAAACAAAAGAUUGCAAACUCGCAAGGACUAAAAAAAUGAUUUGUAGGCAUUGAUUAAAAACUUAUUUAAACCUAAAAUUUAUUCGAUUUUUAUCAAGUGUAAAUAGCCUUUAAAAUGAGUAUAAUAUGCAUUUGUUUCGUCAAUUCUUUAUGGAUAGUGUCUUUAUUCACCUCUGUUAUUGUUCGUGUAUGUAAACAUGAAUUACAAUAGAUGAGCUAUUCAGUGGAGCUUCCUAUGAGGAGCUCUAAGAAUACUCUAAAAUGACUAAGGUGAAAACACAAUGGUUAAGCUAGAAUGAAUCCAUUUACUUCUCUCUAGGUGUCUCCUUUUGUAGGCCCCACUUUCUUGACCUAAUGGGCCUCUUUGUUCUGGCCCAUUAACCCUCUAAGGUCCAUAUGACUCAUUUAUACCAGGCGCGUGGAGCUGAUCAUGUUUCAUGCUCAUUCGUACAAGGUGCUUGGAGUCAAGGGUAGACAACUCAUGUCACUUGUCCGUGCAAGAUGGGUGGCACGUUAUGAGAUACCUUCAAGAGGAGGACCACAAUGUUGCUUGGACAACAACCUGAGAGAGAGCUAGUGAUGUUGAAAGUGGAGCUAAUGUGACCUGAAUGAUCAAGCUGAGCAGGUGGAGCUCAAGUGACCUGAACGAUCAAGCUGAGCUGAGCAGGUGGAGCUCACGUGACCUGAAUGAUCAAAUCGAGCUAAGCAUAUGGAGCUCAUGUGACCUGAACGAUCAAACCGAGCUUAGCAUAUGGUAUAGUCAAUGUAUAGGAGAGUCCACGUGGUAUGGUUUUCCAUACCAAUCCAAUUAUGAAUUGGUUCUUUUGCACCAAGAUUCAUUCAAAAUACUUACAAAAAUCAUAUCUUUAUUUUGGAUUGCGAUUCUCUCCCUUGAGAUUUUCACUGGAGGGAGUCCGGUGAAAAUCUGCACGGUUUAAAUUCUUCUCAAUUAACUUUGAUCGCAUGUGGAAAAUCAAUGAAUCUAAGAUCUCAUUGUAGAAAAAUAUCACUAGCGAGGAUUUAUUCCCCUUUUUUUUUUCUCACUUUUGACAAACUUCACGAUACACCAAAUGUUGAAAGAAACUUCAGGAACCAAUAUCUUCAAAAGCCACUAUUUGUUCGAUAUUCAAUUCAAGGGAUAGAAAUCAACAAGUGUAGCAAAACAUGAAGGUUCAUUUGUGUUAUAAAAAAAUGUGCUGAGAAUAUUUCACUUGCAUUUAUAGUGAAAUCACUUGCAUUUACGAGCACAUAUAUGGUAAUCUCUUUAAACACAUACUCCCUCCGUUUUUUAAUAUAAGCAAAUUUUGAUUUUUAGGUUCAUUCAAUCAAUGAUGUAUGUGGUCUAUAAUAAACCACAUACAUCAUUGAUUGAAUGAACCUAAAAAUCAAAUUUUGUUUAUCUUAAAAAAUAGAGGGAGUACUUAUAAACCGGAGACAAGAACAUUAAAAAUCUUGGUAAUAACACUAAUUUAUAAUCACCAGUGAAAUGAAUGAACAACGCAUGCAGUGCAACAAGCAGGGGCGGUUUUAAGGCCCGGCGACCCCGGGCACUCGCCCGGGCUCCAGGCCAAAUUUUUUGCAAUUUCUUUUGUAAAUUCCUAUGAAUUUCUUAUAUAAACCCCUAUAAAUUGGGCAAUUUUUUUAUAUUUUUUAUUAUUUGCUUGCAAUUUCUUAUGUACGCCCUAUAAAUGUGUUGCAAAAUUUUUUUUUGCCCGAGCUUUACAAUAUUCCUAGCUCCGCCACUGACAACAAGAUUCACAUAAUAAGACCGUGGAAUAUAACAACAAUGAGGAACUAAUAGAAAAAAACAUGAUAUGCUGAUGGAAUAUUCUUGAUAGAGUUGUGCCUUUAUUUUUCUCAUUUUUCAUGUAGAAAUAGUGACAAGUGGCUUGGGGUCAAAUGUACUAUUCAUUGUUCUAUGUACGGCAUAUUUAGGGUUAUUGAUUAGGUAAUGGUGGUGUUUGAUAAAGUUUUAUGUAAUUAGACGUCUACUCGUGCUGCCGCAUGGGUCAGAUAAAGUUAAAAAUGUAACUUGAAUCAAUAUAAAAUUGUCAAUGUGGUGAUUGUUUGCUUUUGUUAAAAUGCAGUUGAAUUAGUGUGGUUAAUUUGAUGGAUUAUUGAGAACCUUUUGCCUUUUGUUAGGCACCAAUUCGCCAGCAUCUCUUUCAGACAUGAUUGCAGAGUCAUAUGUUGCAGAGGUCAUUCCAUGGGAAGUAAUAGAGCGAAAAAAUGGUAAAUAUGUACUACCUUCGUUCCUUUUUAAUUGUCACAUUUUGACAUUUUACACAAACCAAGACAAUCAAUAAUUGAUACUACUUUUGAUGCAAUAAGCUAUAAUUUUACUAUAAUGACCUUAUUCAUUUAAUAUCUCAUUUCAUAUAUUUCUCUCUCCGCAAUAAAUAACUAAGGAUAAUAUUGGUAAAACAAUAUUUAAUGUUGCAUUAAACUUUGAAAGUGACAGUUAAAUAGGAACAAAAAUUUUCUUCAAAAGUAACACUUAAAAAGGAACGGAGGGAGUUAUAAACCAGAAGUUUUACUACAUAAUUCAAUUGGAAAGAUUAUAACAGAUUGGUCCCAAUGUAUUGAGAAACGCAUAAGACUACAUGAAAAAGCAAUAGUCUGGUUGAUAUUGCUUGUAAUUGAUAACCGCAACAAUAAAUGACAGGUUGACAGUGGGAAACUCAAUAGACGCUUGUAUACAACAAUUAUAUGCAAAAAAUAAUGUUAUCUUCUAUGGUAAAAACUCAAGAGUCUAGUUCAUAAUGCUUGCACAUGACAUCAUAGGCCAACUUAAUUAUCUAAUAAAAAAUUGAAAUAAACAUUACAUUGCUGACCAUAGUUAAAAUAUUAUUUUAUCUUGUUUGGUAAUGUGUUUUUAUUAAAAAAUAUCUACAUUACUUUGCUGCGAUAGGUAACUUAUUUUUUUUUUUUGGCUUUCGCAUUGGUUUCCAACUAUCAGAGGUGAGCGACUAAUCCGACUCAUGCGUAUAGGCAUGCGCACUGGCCAAGUGUUGUUCUCCCUAGGAAUCGAAUCCGGUAUUCCUUGGGUACAUCCUUAAAAGGAGCUCCUUGCAACUGGAGCCCAAACAACUUGGUUAUAGGUAACUAAAUUUUGUGAACCGCCUAAUUAGCAUAAAAGCAUGCAUGUACAUUAAUUUUUUGACUAUCCAAUUAGUUGUUUAUUAAUUGAAGGAUUAUUUUCAUAUAUUUUGGUAACAAAAAAAAAAAUUAAACAUGGUCAUCAAUUUAUGCACCACGCGUAAUUGGUUGUAUUUUGACUUAAAUAAUAAUUUCAGAUUUUGACUUAAACAAAGUCUAAAGCAACCAUAUCAAUUGCUUUUCUUUGCUACUUAUUUGCACGGGUAGACUCAAAGAAAAUUUAAAGAUUUUUAAUUUUAUUGGCUAAGAUUGCUCAACUAAUUUAAAACAAAAAUACAUACUACAUAGGAAACAUUUUCAUUCUCUCGUAAGAUGUAUAAUUUGACGAUUUUUAAGCUACUACUCAAUUACGAUUCCAUGUACAACAUUAUUUGAAAAUUAUAGAGCAUAGGUAAAUUGCAUAUUAUUAUUAAUUGGAUUACAGCAAAAGUAAGACAUGUCAUUCAUGUCGUUUAGACUUUGAUAUCCAAAUGGAUUCUCUUAAUACUUCAUAUAUGUUCCCCUUGGACUUAACAAUAUAUAGACAAAGGUUUCAUUUAUAGAAGCAAGGCAUACAUAGCAGAAUCUCAUAUAGCAAAGUGCUAAAGAAACGUAAACACUGAAUAACCUGAUUUGAUUUAAGUACAUAAACAUAUGAGUUGUUGCAUUGGCAUCACUCACAAAAAUUAAAGUUCAAGGCGACAAUUACCUUCAAACAUAAUCAGAAGCUAAAUGGAAAUAACAAUGAAACAGACAUAAUUGAAACCAAAUUCAUAAAACAUAAAGAUAAAAGGCCAUAUAUGGCACCAAUACUUGAUUCGAACAACAUGAGUCUUAAAAAAGGGAAAUGAGCACAAAAAAACUAAAUAAAUUAAAUUGAUCCAGAAUGAAGACAAAAUCUGGAUUCAAUUAAACAGUACUUAAUCAGUUAAACUGUCAUGUUCCUCAUCAAGCCGCUUUCUCAAUCUUAACACUUUUGAGCUUACGUGGUUUGUUGAUUGACCUUUCUCCAAGAAUAUCAAUUCCCACCUCAGCAGAUACAUCUGCAUCAGUAGAUCUUUUUUCUCCAGNNNNNNNNNNNNNNNNNNNNNNNNNNNNNNNNNNNNNNNNNNNNNNNNNNNNNNNNNNNNNNNNNNNNNNNNNNNNNNNNNNNNNNNNNNNNNNNNNNNNGAAUAGCUUAUCUUAAAAUGUAAUUCUAGAUAUUUUAUCAUUUUGUUAUAAUUUUUUUGGAUACUAAAAUUUUGAAAAAAUCUUUAAAAAAAAGCUAUUUCAAAUAGCUUUUAUUAAAAUCAUUUUUGAAAUAUGCGAUUUUUACUAUGUAAAAUUUCGAACAAUAAAUAUAUAGGUUAAUGAAUGUCAAAGUGUCUUUUUUAACUUAUAAUAAAUGAAUUUGAAUUUGUAAAAAAAAAAAAAAACAAAUGAAUUUGAAUAACUUAUACUAUUUUUGAAUAAAUUUCAAAAAAAUCUAUUUUGAAAAAUACAAAGAAAAAUCUAUUUUUUUAGAAUCUAUAACAAACAGGCCCUCAAUCACUACUUUUAAUCCCAAUUUUUUUAUUUAAAUUUUAUAUUUUUUAAUCAAAUUGUGCAUAAAUGUGUAAAAUAUUAAAAAAAAAAAAUUAGAAUUUAAAAAAAACACAAAUUAAAUAUGAAUUUUUAAACGUAAAAAAUAUAAAAAAUUGAUAUUAAAUUCAUGUUUGUUAAAAAAUUCUAAUUAUUGUUUGAAAGAUUCUUAUAAUAUUAUGAAUUUUUUUAAAAAAAUUUAUUCAAAAAUAUGAUUCUACGUAUGAUUUUACUUUAAAGAAGGGACCAAAAGUAAAGAUAAUUUUUUUUUUUUUGAGAGACUAUAAGUUGAAGAAUUUUUUCAGAGAGACUAAAACGAAAAACUAACAUAUUUAUAGGGACAAAAAACAUAUUUAAAAUAGCUAAUACAAGCAUAAAACUUAACAUUAUUUGAGCAUUUACAUCAGCACUUAACAUCACUUCAGCACUCUUUGACAAAUUUAGACACACAAACUAUUAAAGAGAUGAAUGAUCAAUAUGAAACUUAAAAUAGCUAAUACAAGCAUAAAACUUAAAGAAUACAUGAUGUAUUUGGCCAAUAAAAUACAUAUAACUCCCAUUCUAAGGUUCUUUCAAAAAAAAAAAACUCCCAUACUAAGGUUUGAAUUAUUUUUUUUGAAUAAACUAAGGUUUGAAAUAUGAAACUUUCAAUUUUAGAGGCAAAGUUUUAUAUCAUAAACUUUUCAAUUUUGAAUCUCGCUGCAACAACUUGAAAUUUCUCAACCAAGUUAUUAUUCAUGGGAGAAACAUUCAAAUAAGUUUAAGAUGAUGAAAUGUCCAUGUUUAAGUGUUUCAUUUGAGUGGUGUAUAUUCUUCAAAAAUUUCAGUUUUGUUAAUUAGAGAAGAAUCGAAUAACCUAUUAAAUCAAAGAGGAAUGAUAUUUAUACAAUCAAUUCUAUACAACUUUUAUGAUAAUUAUUUUUUCUCUCUUCUUAUCGGAUAAAAACAAUAGAGAGAGAAAGAAGAAGAGAGCGAAUAAAAGCCUAUGUGAUCGUUUAAAACUUCAAAAUUAAGUAGAGUAUUUAGCACCCUUGUUGAUAAGUCUCGUAUAAUGGAAAAUACUUGGGUGCCAUAGUUUUUUGGUGCCAUUGAUGACAUAGGUUCAUUUUAGAUAAAAGAUAAUGAUUAAAAUAAAUUAUUUAGAUGAGAGAGAAUGAAUUGUUAAGAGAGAGAUAGACACAAAGUUACCUAUGAAACUAAUAAAACCAAAAAACUACCCAAGUGCUACCCUAUAAUAAUAGCGGUUGUUGAGGGGACAACAUUUGUCAUAUAAAAUAAAAGUAAUGGCAGACGAGCUAACUACGACAAAGGAAGAAUCAAAGAAAGAAGUAAAGAACGUAAGUGGAAAUUUACAAUGAACUUCACAAUAAAAUACAACAAUACUUCUAUAUAAAGAUGUGCAGGAUUUGCUUCUUCUCUUUCAACCACAUACAUAGUCAAAGAUAACCUGGUAACAGAGAAGCACAAAGACUUUGGAACCAUCGUGUUUAUCAUUUCAGAGGUAAAUAAAUAAACUUAGUUCUACCCUUCAAAAAAAAAAAAAAACUAAGUUCUAGAUCCUCGUUGUAACAACCUAGAUUUUCUCGACCUAGUUAGUUAGUUAACUACUCAUGGGAGAAACCACAGAACUGGAUGUUAUUUCAUCACCACAAUUUCAACAAAGAUUCAAACAUGACCAAAAGAAUCUUUGUUGCAUCAAGUGGUUUUCUUUGGUUAAGCGCUGUAUAUUUGUAGUUUUCUAUAAGAAGAAGAAUAAGGAUGAUUUUGAUUCAUGUGUUGGAGAUGAUGACGACAAGCAAAAAAUGGGAAAAGAUGUUGAAGGUAAGCUGAGAGAACUUCUUAAGAUUCUAGAUAAAGAAAAUUUUGGGAAGAAAAUUAGUGGAUCUAUUCUUAAGGGUCCUUUUGAUGUUCCUGCAAAUCCUGAAUUUACUGUUGGUUUGGAUUUGCAAUUGAUUAAGUUGAAGGUGGAAAUUCUCAGAGAAGGUAGAUCUACUCUUUUGUUGACUGGUCUGGGUGGAAUGGGAAAAACAACUCUGGCUACAAAGCUGUGUUUGGAUGAUCAAGUUAAGGGUAAGUACUAAUUCCUAUUUCAUUUUCUCAUACAUGAUUAUAAACAUGUGCUGAUUUGUUCUUGUUAUUUAAAAAUUUGUCAUGUUAUGCUUAUUUUGCUUAUCAAUACUUUCUAAAAAGAUCAUUUUUUCUAAAAAAUCAUUAAAUUCUGCAACUUAAUUAAGCAUUUAUAGUAUAAGUUAUUUCUUCUUUCAAAAAAAAAAAAAACGUAUAAGCUAUUCUAAAAUAAAAUAAAAUUCAGAGUAAAGACCUAAUUUGGUCCUUGAUAAUUUUCUCACGAAUAAAUUUUGUACCUGAAAAAAAGUAAUACCCAAACUAGUUCCUCAUAUUCUCAUACUUGGGACAAAUUAGUCAUUCUGUUAUAAUGAGUUAGACACUAGUUUUUCUUUCGUAUAAAUAUGUCAGAAAGUAAUGUUGGUAUUAUUGAUUGUGAGGAUCCAAAUUGGGUAAUUACUGAAAAAUUAAAAUAAAGUCAAACUGCUUAUGUAAAUAAACUAAAAAAAGCUUAUGACAUGUGUAUAAGCUGUUUUCAUAAGCUCUCUCAAAUUGUCUCACAAGUGCUUAUUUAUGCCAAUAAGUAAGCUCAAAUAAGCCAAUACAUCAGAAAUUUUUGUUGUUGUGGUAUAUGCAUAUAGUGAAAUUAAUACCUAUACUCACAUAUAUGCAUUUGUAGGAGAUAUCUGUUGUAAAAUAUUGGCAUAAAAUUGUCUUAAUAAUAAUCGACAUAUAAAAAUGAGCAACAAUUAAAUGUUAUAUCAAGUAAACUUAUCUGUGCUUAAAACCGUUGUAUCAUUUGGCCAUUGACACAAUUCUAUCAACAUCCUCCACUAACAGUUCAUAUGAAACUUACACAAUAGUCAACCGGUAUAUAACCUGAGGCUUGACGAAGUCACUGUCCUUAAGGAUUUAUCCGUCUCAUAAGUGCAAAUCCCUCCGGAUUCAGCAGGCUCUUCUUGAUUUAAAACCAAUGAUGCAGAACUGGCAAGAAGAAACAUUUACAGGAAGAUGAAGCCCCCAGAUAUGUGUAUCAGACUCAUGAAAAAUCUAUUAAUGUAGCGUAAAAAGCAAAGAGGGAAUUUUGUUUAGACUGUGCAGGAAAAUGAUGUUACAGAUGCUCAUAAACUUAAGGACAAAACUUUAAGAAAAUCAUGGUAAAUUUAGUUAAGAACCAUGUGACAAACACCUAAGGAAUUGUACUAAGUUUUUUCCUAAACUAAAAGGUAGGCAUUAACUUCUCAAAUAUAAUAGUAGCAAUUUAUACUCAAAAGUAUAACUGCCUUCUUAAUUAUUUUCGGUUGCAAAAUAAGACAUGUAACUAAAUUACCUUCAAAUGAUAGUGUAAAGGCUUAGAUUUCCCUCAAAAAAAAGAAAAAAGUGUAAAGGCUUAGAUUUAACCAAGUAAAAUAAUGUGGUCAAAAAAAUUAGACCAAGCCAAAUAUUAAUAUUAAUCAUAAAUAAAAUAAUAAUAAUUUUCUAUUAAUAUUAUUAAACUUUUGAAAUAUACAAAAAUUACAACAAUAUCAACUACUUUGGGCUUAUUGUUCUCUUUUGAUUCUUUAGGUAAAUUCAAGGAAAACAUUAUAUUUGUAACCUUCUCAAAAACACCCAUGCUGAAGAUUAUUGUAGAGAGAUUAUUUGAACAUUGCGGAUAUCCGGUGCCUGAGUACCAAAGUGAUGAAGAUGCGGUAAAUGGAUUGGGACUUUUGCUGAGGAAAAUUGAGGGAAGUCCAAUAUUGUUAGUCCUGGAUGACGUUUGGCCCGGAUCAGAAGACCUAGUCGAGAAAUUUAAAUUUCAGAUAUCAGAUUAUAAAAUUUUGGUCACUUCAAGGGUUGCAUUUUCUAGAUUUGACAAAACAUUUAUCCUAAAGCCUCUUGCUCAAGAAGAUUCGGUAACCCUUUUCCGUCACUACACAGAGGUUGAAAAAAACAGUUCAAAAAUUCCUGACAAAGAUCUUAUCGAAAAGGUGAUUGUCCUUCUUGUACUUACACCUUUUGAGCCCCAAUAUUAUAUAAUCUGCUGAUUACUGACUAUAUUUGUGUGCUUUGAAAUACAGGUUGUGGAACAUUGCAAGGGUUUACCACUUGCCAUUAAAGUGAUUGCAACAUCAUUCCGUUAUCGACCAUAUGAGUUAUGGGAAAAGAUUGUAAAGGAACUUUCACGAGGUCGUUCUAUACUUGAUUCUAAUACUGAAUUACUUAUUCGCCUCCAAAAGAUUUUGGAUGUUUUGGAAGAUAAUGCCAUUAGCAAAGAGUGCUUCAUGGACCUUGCAUUAUUUCCUGAAGAUCAGAGAAUUCCUGUUGCUGCCUUGAUUGAUAUGUGGGCAGAGUUGUAUGGACUAGAUGAUGACGGCAAAGAAGCAAUGGACAUAAUCAACAAAUUAGACUCUAUGAAUUUGGCUAAUGUCUUAAUAGCUAGGUACAAUUUACUACUGAUAUUUUCUUCAAGGCCACUUAAUCCAAAUAUAUCUAACAUGAACUAUAUUAGAUAAAAAUUCAAUAGCUCGUGUAGCUAUUAUGAAUAGCAUUGGAUUCCUUAAUUAACAUUAUAAACAGACCUUUGUACAACUGUCUACUCUGCAUUGAUAAUUUUCAUUCUAAAGGAAAAAGUCAAUAAUUGUAGUUAAAUUGUCUAAUACAGAACAUGCAUAUCUUAUCUAGUGAUAUAAUUUUUCUCUUGAAGGAAUAUUAACUUCUGUUCAAUUCCCAGGAAAAAUGCAAGUGACACAGAAAAUUACUACUACAUAAUCACUUCAUCGUCCUUCAUGAUCUGCUGAGAGAGCUUGGGAAUUAUCAAAACACCCAGGAACCUAUUGAACAAAGAAAAAGACAGCUUAUUAACACAAAUGAAAGCAAAUGUGACCAGAGGCUCAGGGAGAAGCAGCAAGGUACAAUGGCCCACAUAUUAUCCAAAUUGAUUGGAUGGUUUGAUAAACCGAAGCCUCAGAAGGUCCCUGCCCGCACAUUGUCUAUAUCAAUUGGUUCGUUAUACUUGUAACUUUCUAAAUAUAUUACAAGUUAAAAAUAACAUUAGCUCUAAAUAAAUCCUCAAUUGAUCCCAUAUGUGUUGCAUUUGCAGAUGAAACUUGCGCUUCAGAUUGGUCCCAAGUGCAGCCAGCUCUUGCUGAGGUUCUGAUUUUAAAUCUUCAAACCAAACAGUACACAUUUCCAGAAUUGAUGGAGAAAAUGAACAAACUUAAAGCUCUUAUAGUCAUAAAUCAUGGUUUACGCCCUUCUGAACUGAACAAUCUUGAGCUACUUAGCUCUUUAUCCAACCUUAAAAGAAUCAGGCUAGAGAGGAUUUCUGUUCCUUCCUUUGGCACAUUGAAGAAUCUUAAAAAAUUAUCCCUCUACAUGUGUAAUACAAGACUCGCUUUUGAAAAGGGCAGCAUCCUAAUUUCCGACUUAUUUCCUAAUUUAGAAGAUUUGAGCAUGGAUUAUUGCAAGGAUAUGACAGCAUUGCCUAAUGGGGUGUGUGAUAUUAUCUCGUUGAAAAAGCUCAGUAUUACUAAUUGCCAUAAGCUUUCUUUGCUGCCCCAAGAAAUUGGAAAGUUGGAGAAUUUGGAACUCUUGAGCCUGAUUUCCUGCACUGAUUUGGUAGAGCUACCAGAUUCUAUUGGAAGGCUUUCAAAUCUAAGACUACUUGACAUCUCCAACUGCAUAAGCCUUUCAAGUUUACCCGAGGACUUUGGCAAUCUGUGUAAUCUACGAAAUCUCGACAUGACUAGUUGUGCAAGUUGUGAAUUGCCAUUCUCCGUUGUCAAUCUUCAGAAUUUAAAGGUGACAUGUGAUGAAAAGACAGCUGCUUCAUGGGAAUCUUUCCAAUCUAUGAUUUCCAAUUUAACUAUAGAAGUUCCUCAUGUUGAAGUCAAUUUAAACUGGCUUCAUGCAAAUCGCUCCUAAAACCUACGUGCACUCUUCCUUUGCCUUUUCAAGUUGUCGUUGAGGACAUUGAAGCCGAUAGACCAAAAUACUCCGUUUUCUGCUUUGGAACUCGUCAACAUCUAGGGUCAUUCAAAUAUUGAUUCUAGUAGCAAGUAAUGUGCCUACAUGUCUCAAAAAAGGCUUCAUGUUUACGAUAGAUAGGAAGGCAGGAAGUAAUAAAAAAACAAAACAGUCUGAAAAUGAAGAAUGAUGGUGAUACUGAUGCACUAAGGCACAUGGAAAGAAAAUGAAAUCAUGAUGGUUAAGCAUUGGUUUGGAGUAAAAGUGGCAAAGGAAGAGGUAAAGGUGUUAGUAAAUGUGUCCCCCUGUGAAACUGAAACAUCGUCUAGUAGUAUUUUAGGUAAAUUCUAGGCUGCCUUUGAAAAGUUGUGGAUAAGUUACGCAUAUAUCAAUUAAAAACAGCCGCAUGUACUCCUAAUGUUUUUCUUCAAAAAUUACAUGUUUGAUAUAUAUUAUGGAGUACAUGUGACUGAUUUUAAUUGGUUGUGAGUAAUUUAUCCACACCUUUUUAAAGGUAGCCUAGAUCUCGCUGUAUUUUAAGUUUUUAACGUUAAUAAGUUGAUGUGUCAAAGUUGCUGAAGUUGUGCAAAGGCAAAUCCUCAUUUUAAUCCUUCUAAUUUAU
This 29754-nucleotide long non-coding RNA is filed under the name Medicago truncatula (barrel medic). RNAcentral describes it as "long non-coding RNA (MTRU_LNC006500)". The record is from RNAcentral. Lineage: Eukaryota; Viridiplantae; Streptophyta; Magnoliopsida; Fabales; Fabaceae.